UACGUAGGGCGCAAGCGUUGUCCGGAAUUAUUGGGCGUAAAGAGCUCGUAGGCGGUCUGUCGCGUCGGAUGUGAAAGCCCGGGGCCUAACCCCGGGUCUGCAUUCGAUACGGGCAGACUAGAGUGUGGUAGGGGAGAUCGGAAUUCCUGGUGUAGCGGUGAAAUGCGCAGAUAUCAGGAGGAACACCGGUGGCGAAGGCGGAUCUCUGGGCCAUUACUGACGCUGAGGAGCGAAAGCGUGGGGAGCGAACAGG
RNAcentral lists this ribosomal RNA (253 nucleotides) under uncultured bacterium. Its description in RNAcentral is "partial 16S ribosomal RNA". It matches the Rfam family "Bacterial small subunit ribosomal RNA", at positions 524 to 776 of the family's 1533-position model. The record is from RNAcentral.